CGUUAGCGGCGGACGGGUGAGUAACACGUGGGUAACCUACCUAUAAGACUGGGACAACUUCGGGAAACCGGAGCUAAUACCGGAUAAGAUAUCGAACCGCAUGGUUCGAUAGUGAAAGAUGGUUUUGCUAUCACUUAUAGAUGGACCCACGCCGUAUUAGCUAGUUGGUGAGGUAACGGCUCACCAAGGCAACGAUACGUAGCCGACCUGAGAGGGUGAUCGGCCACACUGGAACUGAGACACGGUCCAGACUCCUACGGGAGGCAGCAGAA
This 272-nucleotide ribosomal RNA is filed under the name uncultured Staphylococcus sp. RNAcentral's name for it is "partial 16S ribosomal RNA". It matches the Rfam family "Bacterial small subunit ribosomal RNA", at positions 90 to 354 of the family's 1533-position model. Lineage: Bacteria; Bacillati; Bacillota; Bacilli; Caryophanales; Staphylococcaceae. The record is from RNAcentral.